GACGAACGCUGGCGGCGUGCCUAAUACAUGCAAGUCGAACGCUUCUUUCCUCCCGAGUGCUUGCACUCAACUGGAAAGAGGAGUGGCGGACGGGUGAGUAACACGUGGGUAACCUACCCAUCAGAGGGGGAUAACACUUGGAAACAGGUGCUAAUACCGCAUAACAGUUUAUGCCGCAUGGCAUAAGAGUGAAAGGCGCUUUCGGGUGUCGCUGAUGGAUGGACCCGCGGUGCAUUAGCCAGUUGGUGAGGUAACGGCUCACCAAGGCCACGAUGCAUAGCCGACCUGAGAGGGUGAUCGGCCACACUGGGACUGAGACACGGCCCAGACUCCUACGGGAGGCAGCAGUAGGGAAUCUUCGGCAAUGGACGAAAGUCUGACCGAGCAACGCCGCGUGAGUGAAGAAGGUUUUCGGAUCGUAAAACUCUGUUGUUAGAGAAGAACAAGGACGUUAGUAACUGAACGUCCCCUGACGGUAUCUAACCAGAAAGCCACGGCUAACUACGUGCCAGCAGCCGCGGUAAUACGUAGGUGGCAAGCGUUGUCCGGAUUUAUUGGGCGUAAAGCGAGCGCAGGCGGUUUCUUAAGUCUGAUGUGAAAGCCCCCGGCUCAACCGGGGAGGGUCAUUGGAAACUGGGAGACUUGAGUGCAGAAGAGGAGAGUGGAAUUCCAUGUGUAGCGGUGAAAUGCGUAGAUAUAUGGAGGAACACCAGUGG
This 716-nucleotide ribosomal RNA is filed under the name uncultured Bacilli bacterium. RNAcentral's name for it is "bacterial SSU rRNA". It matches the Rfam family "Bacterial small subunit ribosomal RNA", at positions 28 to 715 of the family's 1533-position model. Lineage: Bacteria; Bacillati; Bacillota; Bacilli. The record is from RNAcentral.